AGCGGACGCGGCUGAACUCGCCGCGUCGUGUGCCGCGCGGAGUGAAAACAAACACCAGGCCGCCUUGAUCGUCGCGGGCAGAAACCAAAUUCUGACUCCGAGGGCUUACUUCAGCACAAUCCUCACACUGUUCCCAGGGUUCAGUGCUUUCACGGCACAUGUCCGUUUUAGUGAAGCUGGCACCAGCAGGAAAUGCAUCAGCGACACCCUGGCGGAGCAGAAAUGUCAUGCUGGUUCAUUUUGGACAGGGGGAUUAUGGCUGCUUCUCGCUGUGGUCCAGCUGCCAUUGGAUAGCGCCUUGAUUUGGAUAAAUGUUACCCUCCCCAGCCGAAAUGAUCCCAUAUACCAGAUCCCACCUCAUCCCUCAACAUUCUUUCUCAG
Anguilla anguilla (European eel) is the source of this 381-nucleotide long non-coding RNA. RefSeq lists it as uncharacterized. NCBI's taxonomy places the organism in Eukaryota, Metazoa, Chordata, Actinopteri, Anguilliformes, Anguillidae. The record is from RefSeq and is a predicted model, not a curated record. The transcript is spliced from 3 exons.